UGGGGAAUCUUGGACAAUGGGCGCAAGCCUGAUCCAGCCAUGCCGCGUGGAUGAUGAAGGCCCUAGGGUUGUAAAAUCCUUUCGUGGGGGACGAUAAUGACGGUACCCCAAGAAGAAGCUCCGGCUAACUUCGUGCCAGCAGCCGCGGUAAUACGAAGGGGGCUAGCGUUGUUCGGAUUUACUGGGCGUAAAGCGCGUGUAGGCGGGCCGUUAAGUUGGAGGUGAAAUCCCGAGGCUCAACCUCGGAACUGCCUUCAAAACUGGCGGCCUGGAGGAGAAGAGAGGCAAGUGGAAUUGCGAGUGUAGAGGUGAAAUUCGUAGAUAUUCGCAGGAACACCAGUGGCGAAGGCGACUUGCUGGCUUCUUUCUGACGCUGAGACGCGAAAGCGUGGGGAGCAAACAGGAUUAGAUACCCCCGUAGUCC
Molecule: ribosomal RNA, 424 nt
Filed under: uncultured bacterium
Lineage: Bacteria
Description: bacterial SSU rRNA
Rfam family: Bacterial small subunit ribosomal RNA
Source: RNAcentral